This is a long non-coding RNA of Panthera uncia (snow leopard), 1642 nucleotides long. RefSeq lists it as uncharacterized. NCBI's taxonomy places the organism in Eukaryota, Metazoa, Chordata, Mammalia, Carnivora, Felidae. The record is from RefSeq and is a predicted model, not a curated record. The transcript has 6 exons.
CAGUUUUAUUGAGAUAUCAUCAAUGGACAGGCAAUGGAUAUAUAAGUUUAAGGUGUACAGCAUAAUGGCUUGACUUCCGUAUAUUGUGAAAUGUAUAUGAAUAUUGACGAGUCUUUUAAGGCAAUGCCUCCUUCCUACCUCUCUCAGCAGGUGCUCCCCCCCCAUCCCAUCCCCACGCAAAGAUCUGGGUUCCAGCUCCAACACUGCCACCAGAUGGCCAACUGUUCUUAGGUCAGUGGUCUAACCUCUCUGGGCUUCAGCUUCAUCAUCCCUUGUUAGAUGUGCUCUGCCUACCUCACGGGACUGGACUGCUGAGUGGAACAAAUGAGGGUUAUGAGACACAGCUCUUUCAAUGGGGUGGACAUACCAUGAAAAGAUGAUGGAGGCAACUUGUGUUAAUAAGGUCCAGCUCCAGUUUCAGACUCUAACCUGUGACUUGAGGCACUUGGGAGAGAAAUAAGUUCGAGUGGAAUCUGAAGAUCUUUUCACUGCCCUUCAUGCUGUAUCAUAUAAGCAAAGCUUCCAAGUCACACAGUGAGACCCAGGAGGCAGGAGCCAAUAAAAUCUUAAAAACACCCAAGGACGAGGCCCACACAUUCCAAAUGCUUCUUAGGGUACAGGGAUUGUGCAUUUUUUUUCGGAAGCCAUGGUGCUUUUCUGCCCAGUGGUACUCAUUCAUUCCUAGUUGAAUGGAACAAUGAUGAGGGCAAGGAUUCCCACCCCAGGUUCAUCUAGCUCUGUUCACUACUCUGUAUUUGUGAUCUAUUACUGACUUCGGGGAAAUUUGGCCACAGAGACAGACACACGGAUGGAAUGUGAUGUGAAGAUGAAGAGAGAGAUUUGGGUGAUGCUUCUACAUCAAAAGACUGCCACAGAUCACCAGCACAUGACCAGGAGCAAGGAGAGAGGCAUGGAACAGAGUGUUGUUCACAGCCUCAGAAGGAACCAAUCCUGCUGACCCCUUGAUCUCAGACUUCUGGACUCCUGAACUGUGAGAUAAUAAGUAUCUCUUGAAGCCACCCGGUCUGUGGAACUUUGUUAUGGCGGCCCUAACAAAUGAAUAUAAAGCCUCUGUGCACUAUUUUCUUUAUUUUGCAGACAAGGAAGCAGAGGCUCAGAGAGGUUAAAUAACAUGCCUUAGAUCACACAGCUGGUAAGGAGCAGAGCCAGAAUUUAAACUUAGUACUGCAUGCUUUGUUGCUUUUAUGUGGGAGUCUGUUCUGGUAAGGAAUAGAAAAGGUCAAUUUUCUCUGUAUUUCAAGCAGGAUGUGAUAUAUCUUCUUUCUCAGCCUGGCACAGGGCAGCUGGGUCUCCCAGUCCACACCCAUCACCAACUCUGAGGUACAUCUUCUAUUUCCUCCCACAUUUUUCCCCUUCCAGCAACAGCAGAACCCCAAAUCAAUUGCCUCGGGCUAGCAUUAGAAAAAUAAAUUUUCUGGGGUGCCUGGGUGGCUCAGUCGGUUGAGUGUCUGACUUCGGUUCAGGUCAUAAUCUCGCCAUUUGUGUUCGAGCUCCACAUCGGGUUCACUGCUGUCAGCGCAGAGCUGGCUUGGGAUCCUCUGUCCCCCUUUCUCUCUGCCCCUUCCCCACUGGUGCGUGCGCUCUCCUUCUCUCUCAAAAAUAAACAUUAAAGAAAUAAAAA